Callithrix jacchus (white-tufted-ear marmoset) is the source of this 1547-nucleotide non-coding RNA. Lineage: Eukaryota; Metazoa; Chordata; Mammalia; Primates; Cebidae. The record is from RefSeq and is a predicted model, not a curated record.
AUCCCGGUCUGGGAGGCGCCCGCGCAGCUAGGCUCAGACUUCCGGAUCCCGGUCUGGGAGGCGCCCGCGCAGCUAGGCUCAGACUUCCGGAUCCCGGGCUGGGAGGUGCCCGACUCCGCCCACUGUGCGUUCUCCGCUGGGGGCGUGCUUCUGACUGACAGCUUGCACCUGCCCGUCCCUUCCUCGCUGCCACGCUGGCCCCGCCCCCUGGCUGCCCCGUAGGUGAGGAAAUAGUGGAGGAGAUAGAGGGAGGACAGCGAAGUGACAGGGAAGAAGCGGCGGGUCGACUGGUGAGGCCAUAUACCCUGCUUGCAAGCCAAAAUUUUGUCUGCGUGCAUCUGUCUGGGGUUAAAUAUGCGCGCUCCCAAACCUCAGUAACCAGGCAGUCACCAUGCCCGAAUCAGACAAGGGUGGGGGAUGGUGUCUUUGCCUGGAAGUUGGGGACCGCAGGGUGUGAGAAAAUGGCCGCCUGGGUCACAUGUCUGGCCGAGUAUUCCCCACCUGAAGUGAAUUGGUUAGCUGUUCACAACGACCUUCCCGGGUCCUUGGGCCCCAGACAAUCCCUGAGCACUCCCAGCUCUUUCUGCAUACGUUCAGAUCUAUGGCCAGACCCAAUCUGAGCUGGAGCAGGAGCCAGAACAACUUAGAAGCCUCUCCUACCCGUCUGCCUUCCUGCCCUCCUACUCCGUCCUUCCGUCAGUCAUGGAGCAUUGUCCGCAGAAGGGAAUGAAUUUACAUCUCUGGAUUGGGGCAAGUAAGGGUUUCCGAAACCAUCUCGGAGCUGGCUGGGAAGUGAGAUCUCCCCCGGAAAACGGUUGGUUGCAAGAAUGCUGGGAAGGAAAACUCAGGGAAAGGGACCCAGACGUCCAACAUGCAGCGUUGGUGUGGGUCAGGCACGGCCAAGUGAUGGAGGGAUGUUGUUAAGGAUGUGGUUGGUGACAUCCCACAGCGUUUCCUUUAUGAUGACCUGACCUGCCGAAGACACAUUUCUCUCCCCUCAGAAUGAUGCUUGACAACUUUUCUCCUGAGCAGCUGCGUAGCUGACAUCUUGUAGGUACUGUAAAUGGUGGCCCGUCCCAUGUGUACCUAUACGGUAGGGUUCUCAAACCUUACUGCACAUCGGAGUCAUCCAGGGAGGUAUUUAAAUGCCAGUUUCCAGGCUUACUCCAGACUAAUUGCAUCAGAAUCUCAAGAGGGGGAUUGGCAUUUUUAAAAAGUUUUCUGGGUGACCCAAUGUGCAGCCAGUUUUGAAAAAAACUAAAAAGGCUUAUUUAAUCAGGGAACCUCUGAAGGCACCUGCUUUCUGUCAAAUAUAUAUUUUUAAAUGUAUAUACUAGCUUAUGAUCAUUAAAUAAAUGGUUAGAAAUCGUCAUCUUUUAGAGUAAAAUUAAAUCAUUCUUACAGCUUCCUCCUGUGAUAAUGUGCUACUUUGGACUUUCCAAGAAGCAGACACCGAGUUGGAAUUAGAUGUGCGAGAAAUUUACCAACAUAAUGCCUGGGAGGGAAAACAGGAAGCUAGGAAGGGCUGUGACAGAUGACGGUGCCAG